This 253-nucleotide ribosomal RNA is filed under the name uncultured bacterium. Its description in RNAcentral is "partial 16S ribosomal RNA". It matches the Rfam family "Bacterial small subunit ribosomal RNA", at positions 524 to 776 of the family's 1533-position model. The record is from RNAcentral.
UACAGAGGGUGCAAACGUUGUUCGGAAUCACUGGGCAUAAAGCGCAUGUAGGCGGCCCCGCAAGUGCGGUGUGAAAUCCCACGGCUUACCCGUGGAACCGCGCCGUGUACUACGGGGCUAGAGGAUGGUAGAGGAGGGCGGAACUCUUGGUGGAGCGGUGAAAUGCGUAGAGAUCAAGAGGAACACCGGUGGCGAAGGCGGCCCUCUGGUCCAUUACUGACGCUGAGGCGCGAAAGCUAGGGGAGCAAACGGG